GACGAACGCUGGCGGCGUGCUUAACACAUGCAAGUCGAGCGGUAAGGCCCUUUCGGGGGUACGACGAGCGGCGAACGGGUGAGUAACACGUGGGUGACCUGCCCUCAGCUCUGGGAUAAGCCUGGGAAACUGGGUCUAAUACCGGAUAUGACUCCAUGACGCAUGUUGUGGGGUGGAAAGCCUUGUGCGGCUGAGGAUGGGCCCGCGGCCUAUCAGCUUGUUGGUGGGGUGANGGCCUACCAAGGCGACGACGGGUAGCCGGCCUGAGAGGGCGACCGGCCACACUGGGACUGAGACACGGCCCAGACUCCUACGGGAGGCAGCAGUGGGGAAUCUUGCGCAAUGGGCGAAAGCCUGACGCAGCGACGCCGCGUGAGGGAUGACGGCCUGGUGUAA
This 396-nucleotide ribosomal RNA is filed under the name uncultured bacterium. RNAcentral's name for it is "bacterial SSU rRNA". It matches the Rfam family "Bacterial small subunit ribosomal RNA", at positions 28 to 428 of the family's 1533-position model. The record is from RNAcentral.